UGAGUUCAGAUAGAGGUGAUGCAAUUCUCAAACAUGGCGUCUCGCUUGUUUCUUCUUGCAGCGAUUGUGCUCUUUUGCAUAGCACUGGUAAGUGAAGCAAGCACACUAUCUCAUGUUACAUGCUGUUGAAAUUAAUUGAGGAAUAACUUAAUUAUUUAUUUAUCAUAAAAAAUAGUUUUCUGCAUCUGCAUGGAAUUCUUUGGUUCGUUUCUUAAUUAACAUCCUACUUACUUUGCAUGCAGGCUUCAUCUGAUGCCAAGAUUGAAAAUCAAGACACCCAGCGGGGCCAGGAGGUCAAAGGAGCUAAUAGAAGGCUUUUGACAUCCGUUGGUACGCAGCUUCUUCUUCUUC
This 351-nucleotide long non-coding RNA is filed under the name Citrus sinensis (sweet orange). Its description in RNAcentral is "long non-coding RNA (CSIN_LNC002846)". The record is from RNAcentral. Lineage: Eukaryota; Viridiplantae; Streptophyta; Magnoliopsida; Sapindales; Rutaceae.